GCCAGUGUGAUGUAAUGGUUUGAGUGUCGGACUUCCACUCUGAAGACCAGGGUUUGAUUCCCAGCUCAGCCA
This is a non-coding RNA of Phrynosoma platyrhinos (Desert horned lizard), 72 nucleotides long. Lineage: Eukaryota; Metazoa; Chordata; Lepidosauria; Squamata; Phrynosomatidae. The record is from the annotation of a GenBank genome assembly.